RNAcentral lists this ribosomal RNA (497 nucleotides) under uncultured bacterium. RNAcentral describes it as "partial 16S ribosomal RNA". It matches the Rfam family "Bacterial small subunit ribosomal RNA", at positions 28 to 507 of the family's 1533-position model. The record is from RNAcentral.
GAUGAACGCUGGCGGCGUGCCUAAUACAUGCAAGUCGAGCGAACAGACGAGGAGCUUGCUCCUCUGACGUUAGCGGCGGACGGGUGAGUAACACGUGGAUAACCUACCUAUAAGACUGGGAUAACUUCGGGAAACAGGAGCUAAUACCGGAUAAUAUAUUGAACCGCAUGGUUCAAUAGUGAAAGACGGUUUUGCUGUCACUUAUAGAUGGAUCCGCGCCGCAUUAGCUAGUUGGUAAGGUAACGGCUUACCAAGGCGACGAUGCGUAGCCGACCUGAGAGGGUGGUCGGCCACACUGGAACUGAGACACGGUCCAGACUCCUACGGGAGGCAGCAGGAGGGAAGCUUCCGCAAUGGGCGGAAGCCUGACGGAGCAACGCCGCGUGAGUGAUGAAGGUCUUCGGAUCGUAAAACUCUGUUAUUAGGGAAGAACAAAUGUGUAAGUAACUAUGCACGUCUUGACGGUAGCUAAUCAGAAAGCCACGGCUAACUACGUG